CCUACGGGGUGCAGCAGUGGGGAAUAUUGCACAAUGGGGGAAACCCUGAUGCAGCGACGCCGCGUGAGUGAAGAAGUAUUUCGGGUUGUAAACUUCUUUUCUGAGGGACGAAGAAAGUGACGGUACCUCAGGACUACGCCACGGCUAACUACGUGCCAGCAGCCGCGGUAAUACGUAGGUGGCAAGCGUUAUCCGGAUUUAUUGGGUGUAAAGGGCGUGUAGGCGGGAAAGCAAGUCAGAUGUGAAAACUCAGGGCUCAACCCUGAGCCUGCAUUUGAAACUGGUUUUCUUGAGUGCUGGAGAGGCAAUCGGAAUUCCGGGUGUAGCGGUGAAAUGCGUAGAUAUACGGAGGAACACCAGUGGCGAAGGCGGAUUGCUGGACAGUAACUGACGCUGAGGCGCGAAAGCGUGGGGAGCAAACAGGAUUAGAUACCCCUGUAGUC
RNAcentral lists this ribosomal RNA (443 nucleotides) under uncultured bacterium. RNAcentral describes it as "partial 16S ribosomal RNA". It matches the Rfam family "Bacterial small subunit ribosomal RNA", at positions 338 to 795 of the family's 1533-position model. The record is from RNAcentral.